CCGUCGGAUACCCGCCACCGACUACCCGUCGGAUACCCGCCGAGACUUGAGAGGUAGGGGCGCUGCUGCUUCUCGACGUCGACAUCCUGCUAUCAAAACCACCCCACAAAUGCAAUAAAGCACCCAACAAAUAAAUCACCACGAAACUGCAGCAAAUUUUAGAGAAAAUUUUAACUUCUUGUACACUACUAUUUGCCACCCACACCUGCGACCCACGGAUACCCGCUACUCGUCGGAUACCCUCCACCCACUACCCGUCGGAUACCCGCCGAGACUUGAAAAUAACGAUAAAUAUUAGUUGAAUAAUAUAAUAAUUCUAUGAAGCUUGAGGACGAAUACGUAAGCAAAACACUACUAAUUCAUAAUAAAGUUAACCAAAUAAUAGGAGUAGCAAAUAAAGUAUAGUCUUAAUAGUUAAUACUUAAUAAAACACACUAAAAUAUUAGCUCUCUUCAUUCAUCAUCCUCAUUCUCAAGCUGACUCUGGUACACACACAAAUUACAAAGGUUACACAUAUGGAGUUGUGGGGCUAGGGGUCGGACGGAGCUCCCUUAUCACCCAAAUGAACUCUGUUAUUGGUGGUAAGUUAUCUUAUUACUUAGUCCAGAACAAUGCCAAGCCCAAAAAAAUGCAUUUUGGCAGUAGAGUUGCAAUAACUGGUGCUGCAGUGGUCUCCAUUGCUAUGAACAUUUUCGAGAAUUCUUAUGCUCUCAGCUUAAAAGGAAUAAGUGUUGGGCAUAAGAGGCUGGCGGCAGCCACUCUCUCCAAUUCCCCCAACAUCUUAGGUUUCUUCAAUCAAAAAAUGAUCGUCGCCACCGGAUUCAAAGCCACACAUCUUCCUACCAAGCUCUAAGACUCCUCAGAAGCAGCAAUGAGGAAACAAAUGAAAAUGGAUGUUAUUGAUGAUCUGGAGAGGUUUUGUUGUCUUGCUUUUGAGCUUGAUAAAAAAGGUAGCAAUUCAUGGUAAAUUGGCACAAAUCAAUUUCUUGGUGGCCUUCGAUAUGUACAAAUACCAUCAUCAGAACCAUCAACAUCCAUCUUUCAAAAAUCCAACAAUUAAAUCAAAAAUCAGCCCCAUUAUUUACCCACUGCCAAAUUGAAAUAAAUCCAACAAUAAAAAUAUUCAAUCAUAAAAUUAAUUAACAAAAAUAAUUAAUCAUAAUUCACCUAUAAUAUAAGUGGUUGGGAACUUAAUGGAAUAUCAUAAUCCUUGUUUUGAUGAUACCAAAAUCAAUAGGUUUCUAUUGUAAUAGGCUAGAACUGCUCGAACUCAAGUGUUAGAGUUCUUUUUCUAGUUUAGUUGUUGUUCUGAAGACUGAAGACUGAAGAACGAAGGACUGAAGACUGAAGACUGAAGUUGCCGACUAAAGCAUCAGUCAAAGAAUCAGUCUUGAACUGAUUACUUAAUGCGUGCCACGUGGAAUCAGCGGACUGAUACUAAAGUCAAGUAUCAGUUAAACAUUAUUCCUCACACUGAACCUCUAAUGUUCAAAGGAAGCCAUGCACUCCAGAAGUACAGCCGCAUUAAAUGCAGAGAUCUCAGGAUCGUCCUUUUUCUGCAGAGGUAUUCCUAUUUGGUGAUUACUUUUUUAGAGAUGUUGCAUCUCCUGCUCUUCAACAUAGCCGUUCGGCCCGUUCUCACCAAACAAGGAACCUCGAAGAUUGAAGCCUCAGCCCAAGUUCAAAUUACUCUCUAACGGAAGAAAUCUUGAAGACCUUCUCCGCCAACGGAUCUAUUCAAGACGUCUCCUAUAAAUAACGCUCGAGGAUCACUUCAAUCUUCACUGAUUCAACAACAUAAGCUGAAACUCUGCCAAAAUUGUUGCUCAGCCAAAGCCCAGCCUCUCCAAAGUUUGAAUCGAAGAAGAGAAUCUCAAAACCAAAAAUCAGUCACUGCUGAUUACAUAAAUUCUCUUAGACCUUAGGCAAACUUUGUUUAUCCAAAACCUAGGUCAAACUAACUCCAAAGAACUUGUUAUUUGAAGUUUAGUUGGCAAGUUUUCAAACCUCCUUUCGACCGACAGAAUCGAGUGUUUGAGUUGCAAAGGAGUUCAGGAAGGUACUCAAUCUCAUGGAGAUCCUAGUGCACAGUGCGUGCUAGGAGUGAGAAAUCCAACAAGGUGUGUUGGUACUGAAGAUUGGAUCUUCAGUUGUUUCGAUUGUGUGCACCCGCAAGCAUACGUUCAGGUUUGCUGUGCACCCGUAAACACGAGCAUCGAUUUGCAGUGCACCCGUAAGCACUUGCAGAGUGAAGUUGUUGGUCUGAUCAACCGGCCGUGGAUAUAGGAAGUGUUUUCCGAACCACGUAAAAAUAUCUGUGUUAUUUACAGCUUUCGGUAUUUACUUUCUUACUUAUGCUCUUCCUUUCAUCAACUAAAAACUAAUUAAUAGCAAAGAGAAACUUAAGACUAACAACGUGCUCAACCCAAAAGGCUAUUGCGAAACAAAAGUUUUCCGUUGCGUGUGUUAUCAGUCUGACUGAUCUAUCUUCUAAUAGUCAGUGAAAUUUAUAACAUCUCUGUUUAUCAAACUUGACAGAAGCCUUACGUGCAUAGUUAAGUUCUUGUGACUUAACUGAUAACUCCUUACUGAAGAGUCUUUCAGUAUCAGUCGCCAACCCUGUUUUGGUCAAAACUCUUUUCAGUAAACAGGUGUCUGAGUUUGUGUUUGAAGUUUCGUUUUGAUCUCUGUGUUGAGAUUUCAAAAAUAGCCUAUAAGUGUAUUCCCCCCUCCAUACACCUAUUCGAGACCCUCUGGACCUAACAUAAGCAAAAUACUAACAACACAUACAAAGAAAUCAAGUGCGCCAAUAUAUUAAUCUUACACAUUCAGCUAAUUAGUUAUAAAGUAAAACAAACAUUACAUUCCACUGAACUUUCAAACCGAUCCGUAAACACAUCCGAUUACUUAAGCAUCUAUUUAGCAAAAUAAAUCAACAGUCAACCGAGAUCUGACUUCGUCAAAUAAAAUAAAACCAAAUAAAAAUAAAAUAAUUACAAAAAAACCCCGAAAGUUCACAGUAAUCCUCUAAUUACUAAUCUCCAAAUGAAAAAUACGCAUCAAUCGAAAUCGGUGUGACCAUGGAAGAAAAAAUUAGAAACCACAAAUCACCGUUGAUUGGCUGUAAAACUCUUAUCAUUUGAACUAAUGAAUUUAUAGCUAAAACCUAUAAUUAUUAAGUUUCCAUUGUUAAUUUGUAUCUAAAAUUGGCUGAUUAUUGAUUGAUUGGUAAAUCAUAUAAUCGUAUUGCAUAAUGAUUCUUUCCUAAAUUUGUUCUUUCUAAAAUUCACACUAAUUCCUCCUAGAAAAAAUUCACACUAAUCAUUCCAUAUUCAUUAUAAUCGAAUAUAAUUUUUCCUAAUAGAAAAUACUUGCCAUGGGUGAUCAAGAACUGUUUCGGAGCCAAGUAAUGUCCGGCGGGACAGUCAUUGAUGGCGGUGGUGCUAGACGCAAGGCAACCAUUGUUACUCACUACGCAUCAAAGAUCAUCUAAACCUGACAGUAAUAUGGAACUUCAUUGAGUUAUGAUAAUUACUCAGAACAAAUUAAUAACUUCAAACCUAUCCACACUCCAAAAUUUAUGUUAGAAACAAAAAAAUUGCAUCGCCGCUUCAAACACGAGUUAUACUAAUGCUUAGAGAAGCCACCAGAUUGAACUUGUACAGAAAAAGAUAGAUUAAUUAACAUAAUAACCUAAUAUGACUCAUCAACACAAUCGUCAUUCAGACAUUUCGUCAAACAGCUAGAGAGCAAGGAGAAACAACAUAAAAGGGGCCGACCCAUUAACACCUAUCUUUCGAAAAUCCAACAAUUAAAUAGAAACCCACUGCCAUUGAAAUAAAUCCAACAAUUAGAAUCCUACCUGGCUGUAUCGUCCCCUGCUCCAGGCGCGCAACUGGCGGACUUCUCUGGUCGCGACGGCGCAGGGCGG
Molecule: long non-coding RNA, 3931 nt
Filed under: Salvia miltiorrhiza (redroot sage)
Lineage: Eukaryota; Viridiplantae; Streptophyta; Magnoliopsida; Lamiales; Lamiaceae
Description: long non-coding RNA (SMIL_LNC010913)
Source: RNAcentral